Molecule: long non-coding RNA, 2374 nt
Organism: Passer montanus (Eurasian tree sparrow)
Lineage: Eukaryota; Metazoa; Chordata; Aves; Passeriformes; Passeridae
Exons: 4
Source: RefSeq, a predicted model, not a curated record
CGGCCGGGACGGGGGUGGGCGCUCCGGGACACGGGGCUGCGGGCAGAGCGCCCUCCCGCCCCGCUCACCUUCCCCUAGCUCCGCGGUGGUCACACCGAGGGUCCCCUUCGGGAGCGGCGGGUGUCCCGGUGCUGGCCCUCGCUCGGCUCUGGGUGACCCUCUGGAGCAUUGACAUGAGUCACGGCUGUGCACGUCCUGCCUGGACCGGGCUGGCUGAAGGGCAGAACUCAGGAUCUCCCCAGGUGUAAAUUUCUUGCCUCACGAGCGGGGGCACCCAGGGUUGUCCCUUCCUAUCACAUUGUGCUUUUACUCAGUUCCAAACACCUACACCACUUCUCCAUCUUUUCCUGCUGUUCACUUGGUUAAUUUUCCUAACACCCAAGUUGGCAGGAAGUCACAAUUUGGGUUUGUUUUUUAUUCUUUUUUUUUUUAUUCUCGUUAAUUCACAAAUAAUGACAAGGGAAAUUUCAAAAACCCCCCAGUUCCUGUCUUGCAAGGAGCUUGAAGAACAGCAAGAAGAUGGUUGUGCAGAAAAGAAGUAAGAGAGAACCAAACCAAAAAAAGCCACAGGUAAUGGUCAUGGAGGGCUUGAAGGGCAUCUGCCUUCCCUCAUCACAAAGUGAAGGGAGUGAGCAGAAUGGUUCAAGAAGGAGCAGAUGGAAACAGCUGCCAACAGAUGAGUACUGGAAUGGAUUCAAGCCACACUACUUGCUGGAAUUUGAGAGUUUGUGAAGGCCUGAGCUUUCCCAACCACAGGGAAUCACUGGGAGACCUUUACAAAGUUGGACUUUGCUGAAGAUGCUGAGUGGCCAGUCGUGCCUUGGAGGCUCCUCUGACCCAUGGGAGACUGGGCUGCUCCUCAGAAUGGUCCUGUGCUCUGACAUUGAUUUAUCAUCCACCAUGACCACAAGCUCAGGGAUGAGGAAGGAAUACCCAUGGCUGCUACCAUCCCUGCCCCUCUGGCUUCAGAUAAAUCACCAAGCUUGGAGCAUGACUGCCCCAGGAAGAAGGAGAAGCAACUGCAUUGCUCUGCUCAACACAUGGCAGCCUGCUCCUCUCCUCUCCACAGAACAUUGAUCUUCAAGGCCAUACACAAUUAAAGGAGUGGGAGACAUUCCCUGGAAUUAGCUGUUCCCUCUUUCAUUUUCCUGCUUAAGGUAAGAGCUGCACAAACUCCUUCUAUAAGAGUCACCUAGCAGAGAAUACAAUGACUGGUCUGUCAUCAAAGUAUUUAGGGAUGGUGACGAUACCUAGAUUGAUUUUCAGUGUGUUUUUUGUUUUUAUUUUACUGUGAUGUUUCUACAAAAUCCAUAAAUCAUAGGGAUGUGAUAGGAAACAGGUUGCAGUUGCUGGUUAUUCUUGUCCAGAUGCACAGAAAUGCCCUGAUUGUUACUUUCCAAUGACAGCCAGCUCAGGGCUAAACAUUUUUCAGUUGCACAGCCAGCUUUCAAGGUUACACAUAGAUACUGAAUGAAACAGAGCCCACUGGUUAUUUUUAGAGAGGCUCUAAACAAGAAGCAAAUCCCUGGAGCAGUGCUGCCAGGGAUGCAUAAAGUUCAAAUCCAAAUUAAAACUGCCUAUCUUUGGCCUACAUUCCAACUUGAACUUGAGGAAAACUGUAACCUGUGACUUGAACUUUAUGACAAAAACUCAUUUUCAAUUAGUUUCUAAUACCUGAGAAUACAUGAACUUGGUACAAACACUUACAAAAUAGAACUUGAAUGAAAAAUGUGAACACUUAUCCCAAAAUAUAGUAUCUGUUCUUGUGAGUUUUGUAUGGUUUCAGUAGCUACAUUGGAAUUUGGAGUGUCUAAUUUUUUGUGAUUCUUAGUUUCAACACAUCUUUUUAAUAUCAAGUCCUACAAUGUAAUUGUAAAUUUUGGGGGCAGGAGGAGAAACAUGCUUAUUUAUUGACCCUUCUAAUAAUGACUUGUGAUGCUCAGGUCUAGGUUUAGCAGUGACCACACCAGAAUAUAAAGAAAGGAGACCCUUUGACAGCAGCAUAUUUAUGCAAAGUAGUGCAACUGAAGCAUGUUCUUGAUUUCUUUGCUGAAUCAGAGCCUGUAUCUUCUUCCUGCCAAGGCAGGGAUCUAAUACCACUUCUAAAUGCACUAGUAAUUCUAGAAGCCCUAAUGAAAGUCAAGAUAACACCACAGAUUUUAUAAAUAAGGGUCUUUAUUUAGAAUACUGUUGAAAACAUUCUUGGCAACCACAUCGUAUAAAUAUAUAAAGUUAAAGUUUGACACAACAAACCAAGCAAUAUUAAAUAUUUUUAAAUUUUUCCUCUUUUUAAGUUUUUGGGGUUUUUUUUCUUUUUUUUUCAAAUUUAUUUAUUUUUGCUCUUUUUCUUUCCUUUUUUUUUUUUUUUGGAAAG